RNAcentral lists this ribosomal RNA (429 nucleotides) under Acidobacteriota bacterium. RNAcentral describes it as "Acidobacteria bacterium partial 16S ribosomal RNA". It matches the Rfam family "Bacterial small subunit ribosomal RNA", at positions 355 to 776 of the family's 1533-position model. The record is from RNAcentral. Lineage: Bacteria; Pseudomonadati; Acidobacteriota.
UGGGGAAUUUUGGACAAUGGGGGAAACCCUGAUCCAGCCAUCCCGCGUGUGCGAUGAAGGCCUUCGGGUUGUAAAGCACUUUUGGCAGGAAAGAAACGUCAUGGGUUAAUACCCCGUGAAACUGACGGUACCUGCAGAAUAAGCACCGGCUAACUACGUGCCAGCAGCCGCGGUAAUACGUAGGGUGCAAGCGUUAAUCGGAAUUACUGGGCGUAAAGCGUGCGCAGGCGGUUCGGAAAGAAAGAUGUGAAAUCCCAGAGCUCAACUUUGGAACUGCAUAUUUAACUACCGGGCUGGAGUGUGUCAGAGGGAGGUGGAAUUCCGCGUGUAGCAAUGAAAUGCGUAGAUAUGCAGAGGAACCCCGAUGGCGAAGUCAGCCUCCUGUGAUAACACUACCGCUCAUGCACGAAAGCGUGGGGGGCAAACAGG